This 617-nucleotide long non-coding RNA is filed under the name Equus caballus (horse). RNAcentral's name for it is "lncRNA (ENSECAG00000057459.1)". Lineage: Eukaryota; Metazoa; Chordata; Mammalia; Perissodactyla; Equidae. The record is from RNAcentral.
GUCUUUUUCAUGAGCAGUCAGUGCAAACCCACGGGACAAAGCUUUGUGAGAGUUUGGAAGUCUCCUCUUAUAUUUGAUGGCUAUCACUUUCUUCCGGGCUCUGAUGAAAUUGAAAUGUACCUUGCCACUAUUUCAAGGGCUUCUCUCUCUUUGGAAAUUAAGGUAUUUGGUUGUCCUCUGAAGUCAUCUCUCCAACGUGCUCAAGAUAAGUAGUUAUAAGGGUCCUUAAAAGUGGAAGCUGGAGAUAGAAGAGUCAGUGUCAGAGUGAGGCAACAUGAAAAAGAUUUGACUGGCUAUCGCUGGCAUUGAAGAGGGAAGGUGGACACCUGCCAAGGAAUGCAGGCAUCCUCUAGAAGCUGGAAAAGGAGCGCAACAUUGGUAAAACGGGAGCAGGCAGAUCUGGAAAAUGUUAAGAGAUCAGGUCCUGAUAACAUGACCCACGGAAGGAACGUUACCCACUUGGUCAUCAAGCAUGGUGAGUAAUGCAAGUUGAUAACUGAAAAUGGUCCACAGCACUCUGACUUCCCAUGCAACUUUCAGACUCAAGUCUUGCUCAUCUAGUAAUUAAACUGCUGAAUUCAAUGAUAGAACUGAAAAACACUUUAAUGGAUAUACCC